Molecule: ribosomal RNA, 468 nt
Filed under: uncultured bacterium
Lineage: Bacteria
Description: partial 16S ribosomal RNA
Rfam family: Bacterial small subunit ribosomal RNA
Source: RNAcentral
GACGAACGCUGGCGGCGUGCUUAACACAUGCAAGUCGAACGGAAAGGCCCUGCUUUUGUGCGGUGCUCGAGUGGCGAACGGGUGAGUAACACGUGAGUAACCUGCUCUUGACUUUCGGAUAACUUCAGGAAACUGGGGCUAAUACCGGAUAGGAGCUCCUGCUGCAUUGAGGGGGUUGGAAAGUUUCGGCGGGUGGGGAUGGACUCGCGGCUUAUCAGCUUGUUGGUGGGGGAGUGGCUUACCCAGGGUUUGACGGAUAGGCGACAUGGGAGGGUGGCCGGGGACAAGGGGCCUGAGAUACGGACCAGACGGGUACGGGGGGCAGUGGGGGGAAACAUUGCACAAUGGGAGCAAGCCUGUGGAGGCGACGCCGCGGGCGGGAUGACGGCCUUCGGGUUGUAAACCGCUUUAGGCUGUGACGAAGCGUGAGUGACGGUACUGGAUAAAUAAGCACCGGCUAACUACGUG